CCUACGGGAGGCAGCAGUAGGGGAAUAUUGGUCAUGGACGGAAGUCUGAACCAGCCAUUCCGCGUGCAGGAAGAAGGUCCUAUGGACUGUAAACUGCUUUUAGCAGAGAAGAAACGCCUUCAUUUAUGAGGGUCUGACGGUAUCUGCGGAAUAAGCACCGGCUAACUCCGUGCCAGCAGCCGCGGUAAUACGGGGGGUGCAAGCGUUAUCCGGAAUCACUGGGUUUAAAGGGUGCGUAGGCGGGACAUUAAGUCAGUGGUGAAAGUCUGUUGCUUAACGAUAGAAUUGCCGUUGAUACUGAUGUUCUUGAAUUGGGUUGAGGUUAGCGGAAUGUGACAUGUAGCGGUGAAAUGCAUAGAUAUGUCAUGGAACACCAAUUGCGAAGGCAGCUAGCUGGGCCUUGAUUGACGCUGAGGCACGAAAGCGUGGGGAGCAAACAGGAUUAGAUACCCUGGUAGUCCACGCCCUAAACGAUGCUAACUCGAUGUUUGGCUGAAAAGUUGAGUGACUAAGAGAAAUCGAUAAGUAAGCCACCUGGGGAGUACGACCGCAAGGGUUGAAACUCAAAGGAAUUGACGG
RNAcentral lists this ribosomal RNA (579 nucleotides) under uncultured bacterium. RNAcentral describes it as "bacterial SSU rRNA". It matches the Rfam family "Bacterial small subunit ribosomal RNA", at positions 338 to 916 of the family's 1533-position model. The record is from RNAcentral.